This is a long non-coding RNA of Oncorhynchus keta (chum salmon), 560 nucleotides long. RefSeq lists it as uncharacterized. The transcript is spliced from 3 exons. NCBI's taxonomy places the organism in Eukaryota, Metazoa, Chordata, Actinopteri, Salmoniformes, Salmonidae. The record is from RefSeq and is a predicted model, not a curated record.
AUAUAACAGGUUAGGUAGUUACACACUGAUAUAACAGGUUAGGUAGUUACACACUGAUAUAACAGGUUAGGUAGUUACACACUGAUAUAACAGGUUAGGUAGUUACACACUGAUAUAACAGGUUAGUUAGUUACACACUGAUAUAACAGGUUAGUGAGUUACACACUGAUAUAACAGGUUAGGUAGUUACACACUGAUAUAACAGGUUAGUGAGUUGCACACUGAUAUAACAGGUUAGGUAGUUGCACACUGAUAUAACAGGUUAGUGAGUUGCACACUGAUAUAACAGGUUAGUGAGUUGCACACUGAUAUAACAGGUGAGUGAGUUGCACACUGAUAUAACAGGUUAGUGAGUUGCACACUGAUAUAACAGGUUAGUUAGUAGACACUGAUAUAACAGGUGAGUGAGUUGCACACUGAUAUAACAGGUUAGUGAGUUGCACACUGAUAUAACAGGUUAGUUAGUAGACACUGAUAUAACAGGUUAGUUAGUAGACACUGAUAUAACAGGUUAGUGAGUUGCACACUGAUAUAACAGGUUAGUGAGUUGCACACUGAUA